CGCAUCUGUGCAUGCAGCAUAUCAAUAAGCGGAGGAAAAGAAACUAACAAGGAUUCCCUUAGUAACGGCGAGUGAAGCGGGAAGAGCUCAAAUUUGAAAUCUUCAAGGUUUUACCUUGACGAAUUGUAGUUUAAAGAAGUGUUUUCUGCUGAAGUUUUGGUAAAAGUUCUUUGGAAUAGGACAUCAUAGAGGGUGAGAAUCCCGUAUUUGACCAUUAUUUUCAGCUUUGUGAUACACUUUCAAAGAGUCGGAUUGUUUGGGAAUGCAGUCCAAAAUGGGUGGUAAAUUUCAUCUAAAGCUAAAUAUUGGCGAGAGACCGAUAGCGAACAAGUACCGUGAGGGAAAGAUGAAAAGAACUUUGAAAAGAGAGUUAAACAGUACGUGAAAUUGUCAAAAGGGAAAGCGUUUGACACCAGUGUUGUUUUCUCGAAAAUCAAUUAAAAAUGGCUCGAUUUUGUAUUGCUGAGACCUUAAAAGCUCACUGUACAUUUUUCGUGUCUUUUUUAAUGCACUUUUCGUUUAACAAGUCAACAUCAGUUUCUUUUGUUGUAAAAAGGGUCAUUGGAAGGUGGCUUUCUUUUCGGAGAAAGUGUUUAUAGCCUUUGACUCCUGCAAUCGGAGAGACUGAGGUCUGCAGCGUAGACUCUUCGGGGUUAGAUACAUUUGUGCUAAGUUAUAGCUUUUUAUAGACAACUUGUUGACUAUAAUUAGUCUUGUAGCUUACUCGCUUAUGCUAUUUUACCUACGCUUAGGAUGUUGAAGAUAUGCGCGACACG
Molecule: ribosomal RNA, 776 nt
Filed under: uncultured Neocallimastigales
Lineage: Eukaryota; Fungi; Neocallimastigomycota; Neocallimastigomycetes; Neocallimastigales
Description: partial large subunit ribosomal RNA
Rfam family: Eukaryotic large subunit ribosomal RNA
Source: RNAcentral